Molecule: small nucleolar RNA, 131 nt
Organism: Apodemus sylvaticus (European woodmouse)
Lineage: Eukaryota; Metazoa; Chordata; Mammalia; Rodentia; Muridae
Product: small nucleolar RNA SNORA17
Exons: 1
Source: RefSeq, a predicted model, not a curated record
CCUGCACCUAGAGGCACUGCAGGUGUGACUGCUGUGUCACAUGUGCGUCAGUAGGUGACAGAGAGGAGAGAAGCCAUGUCUACACUCAGUGUUCUGACCUGAGAACAUCUGAAUGUUAGUAGCCUGACAUA